GGCUCAGAAUCGAAUGCUGGCGGCAGGCUUAACACAUGCAAGUCGAUGCGCCCCGCAAUGGGAGCGGCAGACGGGUGAGUAACACGUGGGAACGUGCCUUUUGGUUCGGAACAACCCAGGGAAACUUGGGCUAAUACCGGAUAAGCCCUUACGGGGAAAGAUUUAUCGCCAAAAGAUCGGCCCGCGUCUGAUUAGCUAGUUGGUGGGGUAAUUUCCCACCAAGGCUAGGAGAAAGUAGCUGGUCUGAGAGGAUGAUCAGCCACAUUG
This 267-nucleotide ribosomal RNA is filed under the name uncultured Alphaproteobacteria bacterium. RNAcentral's name for it is "partial 16S ribosomal RNA". It matches the Rfam family "Bacterial small subunit ribosomal RNA", at positions 21 to 315 of the family's 1533-position model. The record is from RNAcentral. Lineage: Bacteria; Pseudomonadati; Pseudomonadota; Alphaproteobacteria.